CAACAAGUCCUGUUAUGCUUUUCCACAGCUUUCUUGAACUUCUUAUGCCUAGUGCAAUUAUUGAUGUGGCAUAGAAGUUUAAGAAAAAUGUGGAAAAACAUGUCAAAUCUAGGACUU
This 117-nucleotide microRNA precursor is filed under the name Glycine max (soybean). RNAcentral describes it as "miR396c stem-loop (gma-MIR396c)". Its record names the gene gma-MIR396c. The record is from miRBase by way of RNAcentral. Lineage: Eukaryota; Viridiplantae; Streptophyta; Magnoliopsida; Fabales; Fabaceae.